RNAcentral lists this ribosomal RNA (450 nucleotides) under uncultured bacterium. RNAcentral describes it as "partial 16S ribosomal RNA". It matches the Rfam family "Bacterial small subunit ribosomal RNA", at positions 354 to 796 of the family's 1533-position model. The record is from RNAcentral.
GUGGGGAAUAUUGGACAAUGGGCGAAAGCCUGAUCCAGCCAUGCCGCGUGUGUGAAGAAGGUCUUCGGAUUGUAAAGCACUUUAAGUUGGGAGGAAGGGCAGUAAGUUAAUACCUUGCUGUUUUGACGUUACCGACAGAAUAAGCACCGGCUAACUUCGUGCCAGCAGCCGCGGUAAUACGAAGGGUGCAAGCGUUAAUCGGAAUUACUGGGCGUAAAGCGCGCGUAGGUGGUUUUGUAAGUUGGAGGUGAAAUCCCCGGGCUCAACCUGGGAACUGCCUCCAAAACUGCAUGACUAGAGGACGGUAGAGGGUAGUGGAAUUUCCUGUGUAGCGGUGAAAUGCGUAGAUAUAGGAAGGAACACCAGUGGCGAAGGCGACUACCUGGACUGAUACUGACACUGAGGUGCGAAAGCGUGGGGAGCAAACAGGAUUAGAUACCCGUGUAGUCC